RNAcentral lists this non-coding RNA (24 nucleotides) under Arabidopsis thaliana (thale cress). The record is from RNAcentral. Lineage: Eukaryota; Viridiplantae; Streptophyta; Magnoliopsida; Brassicales; Brassicaceae.
UGUCCAAACAAACAUCAGUUGUCA